UACGGGGGGGGCAAGCGUUGUUCGGAAUUACUGGGCGUAAAGGGCUCGUAGGCGGCCAACUAAGUCAGACGUGAAAUCCCUCGGCUUAACCGGGGAACUGCGUCUGAUACUGGAUGGCUAGAGUUUGGGAGAGGGAUGCGGAAUUCCGGGUGUAGCGGUGAAAUGCGUAGAGAUGUGGAGGAAUACCGAUGGCGAAGGCAGCCCCCUGGGCCAAUACUGACGCUCAUGCACGAAAGCGUGGGGAGCAAACAGG
This 253-nucleotide ribosomal RNA is filed under the name uncultured bacterium. Its description in RNAcentral is "partial 16S ribosomal RNA". It matches the Rfam family "Bacterial small subunit ribosomal RNA", at positions 524 to 776 of the family's 1533-position model. The record is from RNAcentral.